Molecule: non-coding RNA, 70 nt
Organism: Paragonimus skrjabini miyazakii
Lineage: Eukaryota; Metazoa; Platyhelminthes; Trematoda; Plagiorchiida; Troglotrematidae
Source: the annotation of a GenBank genome assembly
GGCUUCGUAGCGCAGCUUACCGCGUUUAGGUAUGGUGUUUCUGUCGUUGGUUCGAAUCCAGCCGAAGCCC